Molecule: unclassified non-coding RNA, 160 nt
Filed under: uncultured Helotiales
Lineage: Eukaryota; Fungi; Ascomycota; Leotiomycetes; Helotiales
Description: sequence contains ITS1
Source: RNAcentral
CAGAGUUCGUGCCCUCACGGGUAGAUCUCCCACCCUGUGUUAUUAUACCUUUGUUGCUUUGGCGGGCCGCCCUCGGCUACCGGCCCCGGCUGGUACGCGCCCGCCAGAGGACCCAAAACCCUGAAUAUUAGUGUCGUCUGAGUAAAAAGUUUAAUAUUUA